This 543-nucleotide long non-coding RNA is filed under the name Olea europaea (common olive). Its description in RNAcentral is "long non-coding RNA (OEUR_LNC015006)". The record is from RNAcentral. Lineage: Eukaryota; Viridiplantae; Streptophyta; Magnoliopsida; Lamiales; Oleaceae.
UUUUAUUCGUGAGAAACUGUCUCAAGGUGAAGUUAAUCUUGUUAAAAUUCACACUGAAAGGAAUCCCUCUGAUGUGGGAACAAAAAUUCUACCUGCAGGUAAAUUUAAAUUUGUGCUUAUCUUUAUUACAUAUUGACACUGGUUAAUUUUUCUUGCAGGUAGUCGGCGAUGAUGAUGAACAGUUCUUCCAUGUGCAAAUUCGCAACCAAGAGAGAGUAUUAUGAGAACCAAGGUGAAGAAUGUGAGAAUAUGGUUCUCUUAACUCCAUUAGACUUAAGUGCUAUUUGUGUAAUUCACAUGGAUUGUGCUUGUCUAGUUUUAUUAUGGACCAUUGGAUGGGAUCGACGGCUGAGAUUUAAUCUAUUUGAGAUAUUUUUGUUGCCUUGUCUUGGGGGAGAAGUUUUGACUUGAAAGUUACCACAAAAGGGGCUUCCCCCACGUUUUUGCAACACAGGUCUUUUCUCUCUUCUCCAGUCGACCACUCUCUCCAUUUUGCACCUUCUGCUUGGUAGAAGGUUGAGGGUGCGUUGGUGGCGGUUUCUA